AGUGAACGCUGGCGGUAGGCCUAACACAUGCAAGUCGAACGGCAGCACAGUAAGAGCUUGCUCUUACGGGUGGCGAGUGGCGGACGGGUGAGGAAUACAUCGGAAUCUACUUUUUCGUGGGGGAUAACGUAGGGAAACUUACGCUAAUACCUCAUACGACCUACGGCUGAAAGCAGGGGAUCUUCGGACCUUGCGCGAUUGAAUGAGCCGAUGUCGGAUUAGCUAGUUGGCGGGGUAAAGGCCCACCAAGGCGACGAUCCGUAGCUGGUCUGAGAGGAUGAUCAGCCACACUGGAACUGAGACACGGUCCAGACUCCUACGGGAGGCAGCAGUGGGGAAUAUUGGACAAUGGGCGCAAGCCUGAUCCAGCCAUACCGCGUGGGUGAAGAAGGCCUUCGGGUUGUAAAGCCCUUUUGUUGGGAAAGAAAAGCAGCAGGUUAAUACCCCGCUGUUCUGACGGUACCCAAAGAAUAAGCACCGGCUAACUUCGUG
RNAcentral lists this ribosomal RNA (492 nucleotides) under uncultured bacterium. Its description in RNAcentral is "partial 16S ribosomal RNA". It matches the Rfam family "Bacterial small subunit ribosomal RNA", at positions 29 to 507 of the family's 1533-position model. The record is from RNAcentral.